CCUGGCUCAGGAUGAACGCUAGCGACAGGCUUAACACAUGCAAGUCGAGGGGCAGCACAGGUAGCAAUACCGGGUGGCGACCGGCGCACGGGUGAGUAACGCGUAUGCAACUUACCUAUCAGGGGGGGAUAACCCGGCGAAAGUCGGACUAAUACCGCAUGAAGCAGGGGUCCCGCAUGGGGAUAUUUGCUAAAGAUUCAUCGCUGAUAGAUAGGCAUGCGUUCCAUUAGGCAGUUGGCGGGGUAACGGCCCACCAAACCGACGAUGGAUAGGGGUUCUGAGAGGAAGGUCCCCCACAUUGGUACUGAGACACGGACCAAACUCCUACGGGAGGCAGCAGUGAGGAAUAUUGGUCAAUGGGCGUAAGCCUGAACCAGCCAAGUCGCGUGAGGGAUGAAGGUUCUAUGGAUCGUAAACCUCUUUUAUAAGGGAAUAAAGUGCGGGACGUGUCCCGUUUUGUAUGUACCUUAUGAAUAAGGAUCGGCUAACUCCGUGCCAGCAGCCGCGGUAAUACGGAGGAUUCGAGCGUUAUCCGGAUUUAUUGGGUUUAAAGGGUGCGUAGGCGGCCUUUUAAGUCAGCGGUGAAAGUCUGUGGCUCAACCAUAGAAUUGCCGUUGAAACUGGGGGGCUUGAGUAUGUUUGAGGCAGGCGGAAUGCGUGGUGUAGCGGUGAAAUGCUUAGAUAUCACGCAGAACCCCGAUUGCGAAGGCAGCCUGCCAAGCCAUGACUGACGCUGAUGCACGAAAGCGUGGGGAUCAAACAGGAUUAGAUACCCUGGUAGUCCACGCAGUAAACGAUGAUCACUAGCUGUUUGCGAUACAGUGUAAGCGGCACAGCGAAAGCGUUAAGUGAUCCACCUGGGGAGUACGCCGGCAACGGUGAAACUCAAAGGAAUUGACGGGGGCCCGCACAAGCGGAGGAACAUGUGGUUUAAUUCGAUGAUACGCGAGGAACCUUACCCGGGUUUGAACGCAUUCGGACCGAGGUGGAAACACCUUUUCUAGCAAUAGCCGUUUGCGAGGUGCUGCAUGGUUGUCGUCAGCUCGUGCCGUGAGGUGUCGGCUUAAGUGCCAUAACGAGCGCAACCCUUGCCACUAGUUACUAACAGGUUAGGCUGAGGACUCUGGUGGGACUGCCAGCGUAAGCUGCGAGGAAGGCGGGGAUGACGUCAAAUCAGCACGGCCCUUACAUCCGGGGCGACACACGUGUUACAAUGGCGUGGACAAAGGGAAGCCACCUGGCGACAGGGAGCGAAUCCCCAAACCACGUCUCAGUUCGGAUCGGAGUCUGCAACCCGACUCCGUGAAGCUGGAUUCGCUAGUAAUCGCGCAUCAGCCAUGGCGCGGUGAAUACGUUCCCGGGCCUUGCACACACCGCC
This 1378-nucleotide ribosomal RNA is filed under the name uncultured bacterium. RNAcentral's name for it is "bacterial SSU rRNA". It matches the Rfam family "Bacterial small subunit ribosomal RNA", at positions 18 to 1394 of the family's 1533-position model. The record is from RNAcentral.